Molecule: ribosomal RNA, 427 nt
Filed under: Actinomycetes bacterium
Lineage: Bacteria; Bacillati; Actinomycetota; Actinomycetes
Description: Actinobacteria bacterium partial 16S ribosomal RNA
Rfam family: Bacterial small subunit ribosomal RNA
Source: RNAcentral
UAGGGAAUCUUCCGCAAUGGGCGAAAGCUUGACGGAGCAACGCCGCGUGAGUGAUGAAGGUCUUCGGGUCGUAAAACUCUGUUAUUAGGGAAGAACAAAUGUGUAAGUAACUAUGCACGUCUUGACGGUACCUAAUCAGAAAGCCACGGCUAACUACGUGCCAGCAGCCGCGGUAAUACGUAGGUGGCAAGCGUUAUCCGGAAUUAUUGGGCGUAAAGCGCGCGUAGGCGGUUUUUUAAGUCUGAUGUGAAAGCCCACGGCUCAACCGUGGAGGGUCAUUGGAAACUGGGAAACUUGAGUGCAAGAGGAAAGUGGAAUUCCAUGUGUAGCGGUGAAAUACGCAGAGAUAUGGAGGAACACCAGUGGCGAAGGCGACUUUCUGGUCUGUAACUGACGCUGAUGUGCGAAAGCGUGGGGAUCAAACAGG